RNAcentral lists this ribosomal RNA (433 nucleotides) under uncultured bacterium. RNAcentral's name for it is "partial 16S ribosomal RNA". It matches the Rfam family "Bacterial small subunit ribosomal RNA", at positions 29 to 507 of the family's 1533-position model. The record is from RNAcentral.
AACGAACGCUGGCGGCAUGCCUAACACAUGCAAGUCGAACGAGACCUUCGGGUCUAGUGGCGAACGGGUGCGUAACGCGUGGGAACCUGCCCUUAGGUUCGGAAUAACUCCCCGAAAGGGGUGCUAAUACCGGAUAAUGUCUUCGGACCAAAGAUUUAUCGCCUUUGGAUGGGCCCGCGUUGGAUUAGCUAGUUGGUAGGGUAAAAGCCUACCAAGGCGACGAUCCAUAGCUGGUCUGAGAGGAUGAUCAGCCACACUGGGACUGAGACACGGCCCAGACUCCUACGGGAGGCAGCAGUGGGGAAUAUUGGACAAUGGGCGAAAGCCUGAUCCAGCAAUGCCGCGUGAGUGAUGAAGGCCUUAGGGUUGUAAAGCUCUUUUACCCGGGAUGAUAAUGACAGUACCGGGAGAAUAAGCUCCGGCUAACUCCGUG